Molecule: ribosomal RNA, 253 nt
Filed under: uncultured bacterium
Lineage: Bacteria
Description: partial 16S ribosomal RNA
Rfam family: Bacterial small subunit ribosomal RNA
Source: RNAcentral
UACGGAGGGAGCUAGCGUUAAUCGGAAUUACUGGGCGUAAAGUGUGCGCAGGCGGCAGAGCAAGUCGAGUGUGAAAGCCCCGGGCUUAACUUGGGAAUUGCGCUCGAAAUUACUUUGCUGGAGUGUGGCAGAGGAAGGUGGAAUUCCACGUGUAGCGGUGAAAUGCGUAGAGAUGUGGAGGAACACCAAUGGCGAAGGCAGCCGUCUGGGCCAACACUGACGCUCAUGCACGAAAGCGUGGGGAGCAAACAGG